CAUAUUCAUGUGCUUGCUUGCAUUGCAUAAGUUUUUAAAUUCAAUAUGCAUGCUUGUGUGGUGUAUGCUAGUUAUAGAACUUGAAUGAUGAUAUGAUUACUAGCAUGCAUAGGUUGGUAGCUAGACUUGUGUUCUUCAAGUAAAGACUAGACCCUUGCUCUUAAUGUUGAUCUCACGGGGUUUCUAGUGUUUUUGUUGUCUAGCUACUCAUGGUGCUAAGGAUGGUGUACAUUGAAUGCUUCAAAUGCUAUCGAAUUUGGUAUCGAGCUACAAAGGUUUAUUCUAUACACCUUAG
This 295-nucleotide long non-coding RNA is filed under the name Sorghum bicolor (sorghum). RNAcentral's name for it is "long non-coding RNA (SBIC_LNC017210)". The record is from RNAcentral. Lineage: Eukaryota; Viridiplantae; Streptophyta; Magnoliopsida; Poales; Poaceae.